GAUGAACGCUGGCGGCGUGCCUAAUACAUGCAAGUCGAGCGAACGGACGCGAAGCUUGCUUCUCUGAUGUUAGCGGCGGACGGGUGAGUAACACGUGGAUAACCCACCUAUAAGACUGGGAUAACCUCGGGAAAGCGGAGCUUAUACCGGAUAAUAUUUUGAACCGUAUUGUUCAAAAGUGAAAGACGGUCUUGCUGUCACUUAUAGAUGGAUCCGCGCUGCAUUAGCUAGUUGGUAAGGUAACGGCUUACCACGGCAACGAUGCGUAGCCGACGUCAGAGGGGGGUCGCCCGCCCGGGAACGGAACCACCGUCCUUGCGCCUACGGUAGGGAGCAGACGGGUAUCUGCCGCAAUGGGCGAGAGCCUUGCGGAACAGCGCCGCGUGAGUGAUGGAGGUCCUGGGAUCGUAAAACUCUGUUAUUAGGGAAGAACAUAUUUGUAAGUAACUGUGCACAGCUUGACGGUACCUAAUCAGAAAGCCACGGCUAACUACGUG
This 497-nucleotide ribosomal RNA is filed under the name uncultured bacterium. RNAcentral describes it as "partial 16S ribosomal RNA". It matches the Rfam family "Bacterial small subunit ribosomal RNA", at positions 28 to 507 of the family's 1533-position model. The record is from RNAcentral.